AGAACGAACGCUGGCGGCAUGCCUAAUACAUGCAAGUCGAACGAACUCUUCGGAGUUAGUGGCGCACGGGUGCGUAACGCGUGGGAAUCUGCCCCUUGGUUCGGAAUAACAGUUGGAAACGACUGCUAAUACCGGAUGAUGACGAAAGUCCAAAGAUUUAUCGCCAAGGGAUGAGCCCGCGUAGGAUUAGCUAGUUGGUGAGGUAAAGGCUCACCAAGGCAACGAUCCUUAGCUGGUCUGAGAGGAUGAUCAGCCACACUGGGACUGAGACACGGCCCAGACUCCUACGGGAGGCAGCAGUAGGGAAUAUUGGACAAGUGGGACGAAAGCCUGAUCCAGCAAUGCCGCGUGAGUGAGUGAAGGCCGUUAGGUUGUAAAGCUACGUUUUACCCGAGAUGAUAAUGAACAGUAGUAGGAGAAUACGACCCCGACUAACGUCCGUGCCAGCCAGCCGUC
RNAcentral lists this ribosomal RNA (456 nucleotides) under uncultured soil bacterium. Its description in RNAcentral is "bacterial SSU rRNA". It matches the Rfam family "Bacterial small subunit ribosomal RNA", at positions 26 to 518 of the family's 1533-position model. The record is from RNAcentral.